CACAGGUUGCCCAUUAUCAGAGAACCUCAUCCUUGAAUCAUUUGUAACCAGACUUCAUGGAUACUGGAAUUUUCAAGGACUAAGCUGAGCAUUACUUGGGAUCUGUCUACUUAAUCCUGAGACCUGGAAUUAAAGGCCUGUGAUACCACAUGCUGAUAUCAUCUUUAUGUAAGCUGUUGCUAUACAACUGGAUCUAUACUGAAUAAUCAAUGUAUGCUUGAAGUAA
Mesocricetus auratus (golden hamster) is the source of this 226-nucleotide long non-coding RNA. RefSeq lists it as uncharacterized. The record is from RefSeq and is a predicted model, not a curated record. NCBI's taxonomy places the organism in Eukaryota, Metazoa, Chordata, Mammalia, Rodentia, Cricetidae. The transcript is spliced from 2 exons.